AGGUCACUGCUAUUGGGAUUCGACUAAGCCAUGCGAGUCGUGAGGGUUCGGCCCUCGGCAGACGGCUCAGUAACACGUAGAUAAUUUGCCCUUAGGUGGAGGAUACCCUCGGGAAACUGAGAAUAAUACUCCAUAGAUCUAGACUGCUGGAAUGCUUUUAGAUUGAAAGAUUUAUCGCCUAAGGAUAAGUCUGCGGACUAUCAGGUUGUAGUCAGGGUAACUACCUGACUAGCCUACGACGGAUACGGGUAGUGAGAGCUUUAGCCCGGAGAUGAUAUCUGAGACACGAUAUCAGGCCCUACGGGGCGCAGCAGGCGCGAAAACUUCGCACUGUGCGAAAGCACGACGAGGGAAUCCCAAGUGCUGGCUCGUAAGAGUCAGCUGUUUCUCUGUCUAAAAAACAGAGAGAGUAAGGGCUGGGUAAGACGGGUGCCAGCCGCCGCGGUAAUACCUGCAGCUCAAGUGGUGGCCGCUAUUAUUGGGCCUAAAACGUCCGUAGCCGGUUCUAUAAAUGCCUGGGUAAAUCGUACGGCUUAACCGUACGAAUUCCGGGUAGACUGUUCAACUUGGGACCGGGAGAGGCUAGAGGUACUCCUGGGGUAGAGGUGAAAUUCUGUAAUCCUAGGGGGACCACCAGUGGCGAAGGCGUCUAGCUAGAACGGGUCUGACGGUGAGGGACGAAGCCCUGGGGAGCAAACGGGAUUAGAUACCCCGGUAGUCCAGGGUGUAAACGCUGCUCGCUUGAUGUUAGUCGGGCUCCGAGCCCAACUAGUGUCGGAGAGAAGUUGUUAAGCGAGCUGCCUGGGGAGUACGGUCGCAAGACUGAAACUUAAAGGAAU
Molecule: ribosomal RNA, 839 nt
Filed under: uncultured euryarchaeote
Lineage: Archaea; Methanobacteriati; Methanobacteriota
Description: bacterial SSU rRNA
Rfam family: Archaeal small subunit ribosomal RNA
Source: RNAcentral